This is a long non-coding RNA of Struthio camelus australis, 1682 nucleotides long. RefSeq lists it as uncharacterized. Lineage: Eukaryota; Metazoa; Chordata; Aves; Struthioniformes; Struthionidae. The record is from RefSeq and is a predicted model, not a curated record.
UGAGACUGUAAUGAUAUAUGCUCCAUGAUGAUUUCACAAGUGACCUUUAAAUGGUCUCUGUUCUAGAGAGAAACAUGUGAAUCUAGACUUAAGAAUGACGACUAAAUUUGUCAAGGCCUUAGCAAUGUCCAAAGAGCCAUAAGAUGGCCACCUAGCACUUUGGCAUAUGUACAGAAGGGUCUGUUUCUCCAUUUUUCUUCAUACUAUCUUUAGCUGAUUGCUUAGUAUUUAGUGAUUUAAUAAGACAUUUAGUAUUAAUAAAGAAUGUAAAAAUCCAGAAAACCUCAGGAGCAUAAUAUAGCCAUGAGAGCAGACUGUGGCCUGCUCAUUAGUGAUGAUGAAGCAUAAACCAGAUGGAAUUCAAGGACAUUUUGUAGGAUUAUCAGUUAGGUUGCACUAUUCUUAAACUUCAAGCUGUGUUUAUUUGUGGAUCUUACAAUGCCAUUCUUGCAUUCACUUUCAGGAGAGAAUUGCAGCUUUAAAAAGGUAUAAAUAACACAUAAGAGCAAGGCAGCUGAGCAUGGUGUCCCUGACGUACUCCAGCAAUUGUACAAAGCACUGUUUAUUCCUUUGCUGUUGCUGCCUGGUGUUCAUGCUGUGAUGCCUAGGAGAACCUGUGCCUUGUUUCUCUCCAGGAGAAGUCCUUUCUGUUGAGGGUUUUGAAUGAUGCAGAAUUUUAGGCUGAUCCAUUUGGUCUUGUAUGGCUCAUAUCUGCCAAUUGUAACAGCAAGCAAAAGACGUUCUCUCAUUUCCACUUCUCUCCCUUGAACGCAUAACUCUCUCUUUUUCUGAGAAGCUGAGGAAGUUGAGAAUGACCCAUGUAAUGAGAUGGCCAGAUGUAGUUUGAAAAGCAAGAUCCACAAACUUCACUCCCUCUGCCCUUAGAGGUGUACCUCUUUUUAAGUAAGUGGAAGAUGGGUGAGCUGAGGCAGAUGUCAAGAAAAGUGUAUUUUACACCUCAAAAGCUGUCACAGCAGAAGCGCUAGCCUGUGGUUCAAUGAUGGAAUAUGAAGAUAGCAGAUGGCAUCAGAACGGAUAUCUGUCAGAACAGGGCCGAAGAAGAAGUCUUCAAAUAAGUAACAGUUUUGACUGUGUAGGCUUUAGAAGUGAACCAGGGAAAGGCAAAAUCAAUAUGCUGUGUUAUAGACAGUAAAAAAUGCUCAGUGAGUUUAGCAUCAGCCUUAAAAGAUCAGUCAGAAAACACACAGGUUAGCAUACUACUUGCAAGCCAAAGAAAAGGGCUGGUUGAAAACACAUAUUAAAGAAGGAAUUUCAACAGAUUUGUCCUUUUCCUUGUGAAUAUAAAUGUUACUGCCACAAGGAUGUUGAAGAUGAAUUAGCAUAGAAAUGGAAGUAUUUUUGUAUCAUGCCUAGCUCAUUGCUUUCCACAGAAAAGAUGUGAAAAGAGCAGCCUUAGGAUUCUUCAUGUGGCUCUCUGCUUCUGAAUGGGCCUCUCAAGUAAGUAGAGGCAAAGAUUAGAAAGAGGUUCCUAAACUGAACCAGAAAUAACUUUUUUUUUCCCUAAGGUAAAGAGCAAAACAUUUUUGGUGUUUUAUUUCCUCCAGUGGCAAAUUCAUCCUGAUGAUUUCCAGAUCUGAGGCUGAACUACUGGGAAUGUGGUUGGACUUAGUGAAUCCUUCAUGCUCUCAAACUUGCUUUAUAAUGUUAAAAUGAUUAUAGCU